This 253-nucleotide ribosomal RNA is filed under the name uncultured bacterium. RNAcentral describes it as "partial 16S ribosomal RNA". It matches the Rfam family "Bacterial small subunit ribosomal RNA", at positions 524 to 776 of the family's 1533-position model. The record is from RNAcentral.
UACGAAGGGGGCAAGCGUUGUUCGGAAUUAUUGGGCGUAAAGGGCGCGUAGGCGGUUCGGCAAGUCUUUAGUGAAAUCUCCUGGCUCAACUGGGAGCUUGCAGGCGAAACUGCCGUGCUGGAGUGUGGGAGAGGUGCGUGGAAUUCCUGGUGUAGCGGUGAAAUGCGUAGAUAUCAGGAGGAACACCUGUGGCGAAAGCGGCGCACUGGACCACAACUGACGCUGAGGCGCGAAAGCUAGGGGAGCAAACAGG